GGCUGGGGCUUAGUUGGUAGAGUGCUUGCCUAACCUGCACAGAGUCCCAGGUUCGAUUCCCAGCAGUGCA
RNAcentral lists this transfer RNA (70 nucleotides) under Mus musculus (house mouse). RNAcentral describes it as "tRNA-Val". Lineage: Eukaryota; Metazoa; Chordata; Mammalia; Rodentia; Muridae. The record is from RNAcentral.